AUUGAACGCUGGCGGCAGGCCUAACACAUGCAAGUCGAGCGGAGCGGCGGACGGGUGAGUAAUACCUAGGCAUCUGCCUGGUAGUGGGGGAUAACGUCCGGAAACGGGCGCUAAUACCGCAUACUAUCAGAUGACCCUAGAUCGGAUGAUCUAGUUGGUGGGGUAAAGGCCUACCAAGGCGACGAUCGGUAACUGGUCUGAGGGGAUGAUCAGUCACAUGGGACUUGAGACAGGGCCCAGACUCCUAGGGGAGGCAGCAGUGGGGAAUAUUGGACAAUGGGGGAAAGCUUGCUCCAGCCAGGCCGCGUGUGUGAAGAAGGUCUUCGGAUUGGAAAGCACUUUAAGUUGGGAGGCGUUACCAGAAGAGUAAGCACCGGCUAACUACGUGCCAGCAGCCGCGGUAAUUC
This 407-nucleotide ribosomal RNA is filed under the name uncultured bacterium. RNAcentral's name for it is "partial 16S ribosomal RNA". It matches the Rfam family "Bacterial small subunit ribosomal RNA", at positions 30 to 526 of the family's 1533-position model. The record is from RNAcentral.